UACGUAGGGUGCAAGCGUUGUCCGGAAUUAUUGGGCGUAAAGAGCUCGUAGGCGGUCUGUCGCGUCGAAUGUGAAAACCCGGGGCUCAACCCCGGGCCUGCAUUCGAUACGGGCAGACUAGAGUUCGGUAGGGGAGUCUGGAAUUCCUGGUGUAGCGGUGAAAUGCGCAGAUAUCAGGAGGAACACCGGUGGCGAAGGCGGGACUCUGGACCAUAACUGACGCUGAUGCACGAAAGCUAGGGGAGCAAACAGG
This 253-nucleotide ribosomal RNA is filed under the name uncultured bacterium. Its description in RNAcentral is "partial 16S ribosomal RNA". It matches the Rfam family "Bacterial small subunit ribosomal RNA", at positions 524 to 776 of the family's 1533-position model. The record is from RNAcentral.